RNAcentral lists this ribosomal RNA (459 nucleotides) under uncultured bacterium. Its description in RNAcentral is "partial 16S ribosomal RNA". It matches the Rfam family "Bacterial small subunit ribosomal RNA", at positions 338 to 795 of the family's 1533-position model. The record is from RNAcentral.
CCUACGGGUGACAGCAGUGAGGAAUAUUGGUCAAUGGCCGGAAGGCUGAACCAGCCAAGCCGCGUGAAGGACGACGGUGCCAAGCAUUGUAAACUUCUUUUGUCAAGGGACAAAAUCAGGCUCGCGACCCUCCCCGAGGGUACCCGAAGAAAAAGCAUCGGCUAACUCCGUGCCAGUAGCCGCGGUAAUACGUAGGUGGCGAGCGUUAUCCGGAAUGAUUGGGCGUAAAGGGUGCGUAGGCGGCCUGCUAAGUCUGGAGUGAAAGGUACCGGCUCAACCGGUACAGGCUCUGGAAACUGGCGGGCUAGAGAGCAGGAGAGGGCCGUGGAACUCGAUGUGUAGCGGUAAAAUGCGUAGAUAUAUGGAAGAACACCAGUGGCGAAGGCGGCCGCCUGGCCUGUUACUGACGCUGAGGCACGAAAGCGUGGGGAGCAAAUAGGAUUAGAUACCCUUGUAGUC